UAGCAUAUCAAUAGCGGAGGAAAAGAAACCAACAGGGAUGCCUUUAGUAACGGCGAGUGAAGCGGCAACAGCUCAAAUUUGAAAUCUGGCUCUUUUAGGGUCCGAGUUGUAAUUUGCAGAGGGCGCUUUGGCUUUGGCAGCGGUCCAAGUUCCUUGGAACAGGACGUCACAGAGGGUGAGAAUCCCGUACGUGGUCGCUAGCUAUUGCCGUGUAAAGCCCCUUCGACGAGUCGAGUUGUUUGGGAAUGCAGCUCUAAAUGGGAGGUAAAUUUCUUCUAAAGCUAAAUAUUGGCCAGAGACCGAUAGCGCACAAGUAGAGUGAUCGAAAGAUGAAAAGCACUUUGGAAAGAGAGUCAAACAGCACGUGAAAUUGUUGAAAGGGAAGCGCUUGCAGCCAGACUUGCUUGCAGUUGCUCAUCCGGGCUUUUGCCCGGUGCACUCUUCUGCAGGCAGGCCAGCAUCAGUUUGGGCGGUGGGAUAAAGGUCUCUGACACGUUCCUUCCUUCGGGUUGGCCAUAUAGGGGAGACGUCAUACCACCAGCCUGGACUGAGGUCCGCGCAUCUGCUAGGAUGCUGGCGUAAUGGCUGUAAGCGGCCCGUCUUGAAACACGGACCAAGGAGUCUAACAUCUAUGCGAGUGUUUGGGUGUCAAGCCCGAGCGCGUAAUGAAAGUGAACGGAGGUGGGAACCCGCAAGGGUGCACCAUCGACCGAUCCUGAAGUUUACGGAAGGAUUUGAGUAAGAGCAUGGCUGUUGGGACCCGAAAGAUGGUGAACUAUGCUUGAAUAGGGUGAAGCCAGAGGAAACUCUGGUGGAGGCUCGCAGCGGUUCUGACGUGCAAAUCGAUCGUCAAAUUUGGGCAUAGGGGCGAAAGACUAAUCGAACUAUCUAGUAGCUGGGUUCCUGCC
Molecule: ribosomal RNA, 908 nt
Filed under: Curvularia cymbopogonis
Lineage: Eukaryota; Fungi; Ascomycota; Dothideomycetes; Pleosporales; Pleosporaceae
Description: eukaryotic LSU rRNA
Rfam family: Eukaryotic large subunit ribosomal RNA
Source: RNAcentral